This 426-nucleotide ribosomal RNA is filed under the name uncultured eukaryote. Its description in RNAcentral is "SSU rRNA". It matches the Rfam family "Eukaryotic small subunit ribosomal RNA", at positions 592 to 1018 of the family's 1831-position model. The record is from RNAcentral.
CAAUAGCGUAUAUUAAUGUUGUUGCAGUUAAAAGCUCGUAGUUGGAUUUCUGACAGAAGCGACCGGUCCGAGCCGUAAGGUUCGUGUUACUUUGUGUUGUCUUUAGUCAUCCUUAUGGAGAACAAGUGUGGCAUUAAGUUGUUGUGCUUGGGAUCCAUAUCAUUUACUGUGAAAAAUUAGAGUGUUCAAAGCAGGCAAUCGCUGUGAAUAUAUUAGCAUGGAAUAAUAAGAUAGGACGUUGGUACUAUUUUGUUGGUUUGUAUACCAAUGUAAUGAUUAAGAGGGACAGUUGGGGGUAUUCGUAUUUACAUGUCAGAGGUGAAAUUCUUGGAUUUUGGAAAGACGAACUACUGCGAAAGCAUUUACCAAGGAUGUUUUCAUUAAUCAAGAACGACAGUUAGGGGAUCGAAGACGAUCAGAUACCAU